RNAcentral lists this non-coding RNA (236 nucleotides) under Clostridium sp. RNAcentral describes it as "T-box sequence". It matches the Rfam family "T-box leader". Rfam says of the family: Uncharged tRNA acts as the effector for transcription antitermination of genes in the T-box leader family. The record is from RNAcentral. Lineage: Bacteria; Bacillati; Bacillota; Clostridia; Eubacteriales; Clostridiaceae.
UUAAAUGCUGUGAUCAGGAAAAGUAAACUAUAUGAAUCAGACAGAGAGAAGUUUCUAGGGUGAGAGAACUUUAUGUUGGAUUAUAGUUGAAGUGCCCCUGUGAGCAUUAAGCCGAAGAAAGUAGGCUGAUACGUGAGCUCACGUUAUAGAGCUAUGACAUGAUUGUGUCAGAAUAAAGAUGGGUAUUUUAUACCUAAUCAGAGUGGAACCGCGGAAUUUAACCUUCUGCCUCUGUA